RNA transcript from Solanum tuberosum (potato), 2428 nucleotides. It is a transcript of the gene named CBL-interacting serine/threonine-protein kinase 12-like, with no coding region annotated. The record is from RefSeq and is a predicted model, not a curated record. NCBI's taxonomy places the organism in Eukaryota, Viridiplantae, Streptophyta, Magnoliopsida, Solanales, Solanaceae. The transcript has 3 exons.
UGCGUUAAUCCUACACCACUCAAAUAUAUAGAUAUAGAGUAUACAUACAUUCAGGUACAGCUCUGUACACAAUCAUUUUCCUUGAAACCUAAAAAUAGCUCAAUAACAUCAACAUCUCCAACUACACGACAGCUCACCAUUUCAAUGGCAAUUUCUCCUCAAAAAAACCAUUAUUUAGGCUGACUGUCAACUAAUCCUAUUGAUCUUUUUGGCCUUCCCUUUCCCCCUUUUUUCGCAAAUCUUCAAACGACCCUUUCGAUAUUUUACCCCUUUUUUGCAAAUUUUGAAUUACCCAUCUGAUAUUUUGGCUUUUUGAUCGCAAUUUGGAAGCACCCUUUUGAUAAAGUUUGGUUCUUUUAGGAAAAAAAUUCAACUAUACAUAUUUUUUGUUAAAAGUUUGCAGAAUCCAUGGCCGGCAUCGCUACCGCCGGCGACACCAGCACCAGUACCAGCAGCAACCUAGCGCCGACGAGGAGUUUGAGCAAGAAGGAAAAUCAGGGGCUUCUGUUGGGCAGGUAUGAAAUUGGGAAAUUACUAGGGCAUGGUACUUUUGCUAAGGUGUACCAUGCUAGAAAUGUGAAGACGAAUGAGAGCGUAGCGAUUAAGGUGAUUGAUAAAGAAAAGAUCUUGAAAGUGGGUCUUAUUGAUCACAUAAAACGUGAGAUCUCAAUUCUCAAGAGAGUAAGGCAUCCAAAUAUAGUUGAAUUGUACGAAGUUAUGGCUACCAAAGCCAAAAUCUUCUUUGUCAUGGAGUAUGUCAAAGGCGGUGAGCUCUUCAAUAAGGUUGCCAAAGGCAGGCUUAAGGAAGAAGUUGCUCGGAAAUAUUUCCAGCAGUUAAUCUCUGCUAUCGCUUUUUGUCAUGCCCGGGGUGUUUACCAUAGGGACCUAAAGCCAGAAAAUAUACUGUUAGAUGAAGAUGGGAAUGUCAAAGUUUCUGAUUUUGGCCUUAGUGCCAUUUCAGAGCAGAUAAAGCAAGAUGGGCUCUUUCAUACUUUCUGUGGUACUCCGGCUUAUGUGGCGCCGGAGGUGUUAGGAAGAAAGGGUUAUGAUGCAGCCAAAGUAGACAUUUGGUCAUGUGGGGUGAUACUCUUUGUGCUAAUGGCAGGGUAUUUACCAUUUCAUGAUCAGAAUGUUAUGGCUAUGUACAAGAAGAUUUAUAGGGGUGAAUUUAGAUGUCCCAGGUGGUUUUCACCUGAAUUAACUCGGUUUUUAAAGCACCUUCUUGAUAUUAAUCCCGAAACCAGGAUUACUGUUCAGGAGAUUAUGAAUAAUAGGUGGUUCAAGAAGGGUUUUAAACAUGUUAAAUUUUAUAUUGAGGAUGAUAAGUUGUGUAGUAUAAAUGAUGAUGAGUAUGGUGGGAUUGAUUAUUCGUCUGAUAGAUCAGAGUCUGAGUCUGAAAUAGAGAUCAGAAGGAGGUCAGCUACUUUGCCUAGGCCAGCUAGCUUGAAUGCAUUUGAUAUUAUUUCAUUUUCCCGUGGCUUUGAUUUGUCCGGUUUGUUUGAGGAGGGAGGAGAUGGGGCAAGGUUUGUAUCCGGGGCUCCUGUGCCCAAGAUCAUAAAUAAGUUGGAGGAAAUUGCUAAAGUUGUGAGCUUUGCAGUAAGGAAGAAGGAUUGUAAAGUGAGUAUGGAGGGGUCUAAGGAAGGUGCAAAGGGGCCGUUGACAGUUGCAGCUGAGAUAUUUGAGUUGACGCCAUCGUUGAGAGUUGUUGAAGUGAAGAAGAAAGGAGGAGACAGCUUGGAGUAUGAGGAGUUUUACAACAGGGAAUUGAAGCCAGGAUUACAGAAUUUAGCACAUGAAGUUGGAUACCCUGUUGAUUCAUCAUAUUUGCCAUCAGAUACUGAAUAAAGAGAGAGAAGGGGAAAGGGAAGCGCUGUAUUACAAAUUGAGCUUCUCAAUCUUGUAAGGCCAGUUAAUAAGGAGCAAUUUUGCUAAUAACAUCUGCAUCAUAAUUUUUUAUUAACUACUCAUGGGGUUGAGCCACGGUAACUGUGGACUUCCUAGGGACAGGUGGAGGCUGCUUGCACUCGAACGGGGACUUCCUGAAUACCAAAAAGCAGAAACACAUGCCAAGCUAGACUGAUGGAGCGCCACGCUAGUGAACCCUUGACCUAGCACUAUGUCAUGAGUUGAUGUUCGCGAUCAAGGUUUCACCAUUUCAAUUCUGGCCAGUGAAAAACGUGGUUCGUAGUCUAAUUGUAUAUUAGUAGUCUCAUCAACAAGGCCAUCCAGUUCGCGUUAGUUAGUUGAUGUAGUACUUAUUCAGAGAAGUUUGAUACCAAAGCCCAGAUUUAAAUUUUAAAAGAAUAAAAAUCUUUGUAAUAGUGUUUUUGGGCCAUAGAAAGAGGAGAAGAAUAAAUCUGGACCACUGUGUAGUGAAUGAUUGAAAUUUGAAAGCUUUAUUUAUUGUCGUUAGACGGCAGUUUCACUA